RNAcentral lists this transfer RNA (86 nucleotides) under Chloroflexota bacterium. Its description in RNAcentral is "Chloroflexi bacterium (oil production facility metagenome) tRNA-Ser". It matches the Rfam family "tRNA". From Rfam's summary of the family: Transfer RNA (tRNA) molecules are approximately 80 nucleotides in length. Their secondary structure includes four short double-helical elements and three loops (D, anti-codon, and T loops). The record is from RNAcentral. RNAcentral also lists the same sequence under 1 other name. Lineage: Bacteria; Bacillati; Chloroflexota.
GGAGGGAUGGCAGAGUGGACUAUUGCGGCGGUCUUGAAAACCGUUGUGGGCUUGUCCCACCGGGGGUUCGAAUCCCUCUCCCUCCG